GUACUCGUGGCACAGUAGGUUAGAGCGUUUGACUUAUAAACAACAGGUCAUGGGUUCGAGCCUCGAGUGCA
RNAcentral lists this transfer RNA (71 nucleotides) under Schistocephalus solidus. It matches the Rfam family "tRNA". Rfam says of the family: Transfer RNA (tRNA) molecules are approximately 80 nucleotides in length. Their secondary structure includes four short double-helical elements and three loops (D, anti-codon, and T loops). Lineage: Eukaryota; Metazoa; Platyhelminthes; Cestoda; Diphyllobothriidea; Diphyllobothriidae. The record is from Rfam by way of RNAcentral.